Molecule: long non-coding RNA, 211 nt
Organism: Arabidopsis thaliana (thale cress)
Lineage: Eukaryota; Viridiplantae; Streptophyta; Magnoliopsida; Brassicales; Brassicaceae
Product: other RNA
Exons: 1
Source: RefSeq
AUAGAAAUAAUGUUUCUCCACGUGGAUUCCGUGUCGGGUUGAAAUAAUGUUGUCCUUAUUUAGGAAUGUAAAAAAUAUAACGUAAACAGUUAUGUCAUUUUCAAAUACCAAUUACUGUCAUAACCUUAGCUUUCGCUCUCGUUGUGAUAUACAAGUGGUCAUGUGUGGCUAAGCUCAAGUCAAAGACAAGGUUGGUUUGAGUUAGAUUGUG